ACCAAAUUAAUUACUUAAGAUCAUUUUAUAUUUUGGCUAAUUACAUAAUGGCCAUAACACAAUUAUAGAAUUAUAUCUGUGACCCAUAAAUUGUCAGAAAUUCCAACAACAAAUCCAUGGCAUAGCAACAUUUUACUGAUUCAGAAUAAGAACAUUGACCUAAUUGCAAAAGGGGGACAUAAAAUUGAAUGUUUACGAAUGCACCAACGUACCAGAUUCUCACCAACAUUGACGUCAAUAGAUGAAACCCUUUGGUUCUUCACCGUUGUGGUUUCUCUUUGAUUUAUUAUUUUAUACAACGCCCUCACAUCACUAUCGUCGAUUCUCCAUCGCUUCCGUCAUUCGCCGCCACCGGAAACUCUCGCUCAGCUCAAUUCAUGACACCACAAUUAUUGGUAAAUAUUUGUAUAAAAUUUACCCAUACAUAUCUUUUCAUGUAUUUUUAGAAUAAUAUCUUUUUGGUAAGCAGUUAAUAAAACUUUGUUAUUUAAG
This 492-nucleotide long non-coding RNA is filed under the name Lupinus angustifolius (narrow-leaved blue lupine). Its description in RNAcentral is "long non-coding RNA (LANG_LNC003401)". Lineage: Eukaryota; Viridiplantae; Streptophyta; Magnoliopsida; Fabales; Fabaceae. The record is from RNAcentral.